AAGGAGUAUGUAUUGACAUGUAUUGAAAUAUUACAAACAUAAUUCCUUUUUUUCUUCCUUUUAUCCUUCUAUUUUUUCUUCCUCUUAUCCUUCUAUUUUUUCAUUCCUUUUUUUUUCUUUUAUAUUUUCUUUUUCUAUUUUUUUUUCUUUUUCUGCCAUCUUCUGAAAUAUUACAAACAUAAUUAUUCAACCCCACACAACUCCAAACAAGACUCGUUCAACCCUUUGAGUAGGGUGAUAAUAUUGUUUUUCACUUCUCGGCUUGUAAUGAGUUUUAAACAAAAAAGGGAGAAUAGACUCAAGGGGGUUUCAAACAAGGGAUGAAAUUAUUUCAGGGUUGGCUUUUUGGCUAACUGGAUAAAAAAAACAAAAAAAAAACAAAAACAAAAUUGCCUUUAUCAUAUUAGUGUGUAC
RNAcentral lists this long non-coding RNA (414 nucleotides) under Lathyrus oleraceus (garden pea). Its description in RNAcentral is "Pisum sativum (pea) long non-coding RNA (PSAT_LNC022851)". The record is from RNAcentral. Lineage: Eukaryota; Viridiplantae; Streptophyta; Magnoliopsida; Fabales; Fabaceae.